AAAGAAUAAGUGCACUUGAGUAUAACAAUGGCUGGGUGAGACCGGUAUAAAUGUCUAUUCUGCACAAGGUACAGACAAGUUUGGUGGGAUUCAUGCCUGGUUCAUUUUAAUAAAUGUGAGCUUGUCCACGUUGGCCGUGGACAGGUGGCUGCACUUGUCUGUGACAAGUGCCGUCACAGACCUCGUUCCGAUCGCACGUCCCUGUGACAGCGACAACGCAUUCGGAUGUCUGCCCUAUCAACUUUCGAUGCUAUUUUCCGCGCCUACCAUGGUGACCACGCGUAACUGGGAAUCAAGGUUCGAUUCCAGAGAGGGAGACUGAGAAACAGCUAUCACAUGCAAGGAAGGCAGCAGGCGUGCAAAUUACCCACUCCCGACACGGGGAGGUAUUGAC
This is a non-coding RNA of Pelobates cultripes (western spadefoot toad), 394 nucleotides long. The record is from the annotation of a GenBank genome assembly. NCBI's taxonomy places the organism in Eukaryota, Metazoa, Chordata, Amphibia, Anura, Pelobatidae.